Long non-coding RNA from Neogale vison (American mink), 244 nucleotides. RefSeq lists it as uncharacterized. The record is from RefSeq and is a predicted model, not a curated record. Lineage: Eukaryota; Metazoa; Chordata; Mammalia; Carnivora; Mustelidae. The transcript is spliced from 4 exons.
GUAGAUGUGAAGUACUUUUCUCAGGAUCAUCUAGUUCGUGAGAAGCAAAGGUGGAUCUGCUGUUAAAAUGUUUACCAACUUCUCCAAAAAAUAAAAGAAUGAAUGAAAUACUGCUUCCAUAUAGAUCUAAGUGGGAGAAGAAGUUUGAACUACUUUAGAAUGCUAUACAGAAGGCCCUGUAAUUGAACACAGUGAGCGGUUAUAACCUCCUUCCAAAACUGGAUAUCAGAUUAGUCCUUAUGCU